GGGGGAAAAAAACCCCGAGGGGUAGCGCGGGCACUCGUCCGAGGAGGUGUUCCCCCCCCCCCGGGGUUGGAACCCCGGCCAAAAUCCUCCCGCGGAGCCCACCCAAGGGGGGAAUAACCCCACAAGGGGGAACCCUGGGCGACACCCCGUGGAGAAAAACAUUUAAGGGGUGAACCCCUUUACCAAGGAAGAAGAUGCCGGACUUGAUGGAUAACCCCGGGUAACCCCGGCCCACAACCGCGGUAACCCGGAGGGCCCAAACCGUACUCGGGAACCACCUGGGCGUAAACCCAUUAGCGUUGUUAAUUAGAAUGGAAACCUACGCUCAACCCUGGGACAGCUUCUGAAACUGGAAUGACUAGAUCUGGGGAGAGGAAGAUGGAAUUAGUAUGUAGGGGUAAAAUCCGUAGAGAUUACCUAGGAAUACCGAAACGAAGGCGAUCUUCUGGAACAGGACUGACGCUGAGAUGCGAAAGCUGGGGAGCAAACAGGAUUAGAUACCCUGGUAGUCCACGCCCUAACGAUGAAUGUUAUCGUUGGAGUGCUAGCCACUUCAGUGAUGCAGCUAACGCAUUAAACAUUCCGCCUGGGGAGUACGGCCGCAAGGUUAAAACUCAAAGGAAUAGACGGGGACCCGCACAAUGUGGAGCAUGUGGUUUAAUUCGAAGAUACGCGAAGAACCUUACCUGGCCUUGACAUAUACCAGAAUCUACCAGAGAUGUGGAGUGCCUUCGGGAGCUGGUAUACAGGUGCUGCACGGCUGUCGUCAGCUCGUGUCGUGAGAUGUUGGGUUAAGUCCCGCAACGAGCGCAACCCUCGUGACUAGUUUACUAACAGCAUAGGCUGAGGACUCUAGUCAGACUGCCUUCGUAAGGAGGAGGAAGGUGAGGACGACGUCAAGUCAUCAUGGCCCUUACGCCAGGGCGACACACGUGCUACAAUGGGAAGGACAAAGAGAAGCAAAACUGUGAGGUGGAGCAAAGUCGUAGUAAACCGUUCGUCUCAGUUCGGAUCAGUCUGCAACUCGACUGCAUGAAGCUGAAUCACGUAGGACGAUUCU
RNAcentral lists this ribosomal RNA (1060 nucleotides) under epibiont metagenome. RNAcentral's name for it is "bacterial SSU rRNA". It matches the Rfam family "Bacterial small subunit ribosomal RNA", at positions 1 to 1347 of the family's 1533-position model. The record is from RNAcentral.